Molecule: non-coding RNA, 3436 nt
Organism: Microcebus murinus (gray mouse lemur)
Lineage: Eukaryota; Metazoa; Chordata; Mammalia; Primates; Cheirogaleidae
Source: RefSeq, a predicted model, not a curated record
GCCCGCUCCCGCCUCCCCGUGACGGGCGGCUCAGUCAGUCAGCAGGCCGGGAGACUAGCUCCGCCCAGGUGUGGCUCGAAGGAGGCGGUGGCUUCCGGAGUAGCACCUUCCCAGAAGACCCCGGCAGAUCCGCGCUCGAGUUUUCAUUGGUCUAACCAGAUCACAGACUCCAGCGCGAUUGGUCAGGUGAGAUCCGUGAUUGAAUGACAGCUUCUAGGUUCCGCCCCGGAACUGGGAUUGGUGUGGUCUCUACUUAGAGUGGUAGAGGUCGUUUUUCGUCGCUGCAAUGGGUGAGGAAGUGCUCGCCUCCCGUUUACCUGUUUUGGCGUGAUUUUAGUGAGAAGAGUCGUGAAAUUUAACAACUUGGCACAGUCACGGGAAACAGCCGGAGAAUAGCACGGGAAACAGCAGACCGAUCCCACUAAGGCUUUCAAUCAGCCACAGCAUGUGGGGCGCCAGGAGGUGCCGCGGGGUGCCGGGGAUGUUUCACUCCGCCGUUCCGGGGGCCGGCCGAGCCCCUGCGGAGGUCUUCACGGUCAAGCACCUGAGCUGAUCACUCCUCUUUAUAGUUUAAGCCUCUUAGAGUUGACAUCUUAAUGGACAGAGAGGAAAACCAGCUUUAGUCACAUGAAAACGUAAUAACUGAAAGCGAGAGAAGAGGUGACGGUGACGUUGAGGAUGGGGGUGAGGCUGGAAAGUGACAGAAGGAUGCUGAAAGGAAACUGGCAGUCUCCCUUCUGGUGUCCUGUGAAUUGAGGGCCUCCAGCUCUGGCCCAGAGAUAUAGGGCUUUUCUACUAUGGCUCCUCUGUCUUGGAUCAUCACAGCAGCAUCAUGAGGUCUGUCUCAGGUGAUCCCAAGAAGCUCCAGUAGGGAGUGGGGAGGUAAGACACGGAAGAGAAAGAAGGCAGUUUCCAGAGACCUUCACAAUGGUCCUGUGAAGCUGGUUUUAUGACUCCCUCCACUAUACAGAUGAGGAAACUGAGGCUGAGAGGUGAGGCUGGCUGCCCUAUGAGGAGCAGUGUUAUGCACUUCAUGGGGGCAGGACUCCAGAGAGGCGUGACUCACGCCUGAAGGACCAAGGGGUGCGCAGCGAGUCUCCCUGGCUGGAUGGUGUGUGGCGGCCUGUUCAAGUGCUGUGACCCGAGUGCCCUUCCCUGCGUGGCUCCAGGUUAGAGGUGGCCAAAGGAGGGACUUGCCUAAGGUCCUGGAUGCCACAGCGAGGCAGCAGCUGUCACUCUCCAGUGUCAUCGGGGUUGGAUAUGGUGAUGGACAGCCGCAGAGGUGUCCCGUGAGUCCUGGUGGUCCUCCUGACUGCUGACCCUGCAGACCAGCAGCGGCCUAGGCUUGGCCACAGCCCCACCGAGGGGAACCGUGAACACUAAAUAAUCAGAGGUCCAUCUGCUAAUUAGAAAGGAAUUCUGUUUUAACCCUGAAUUCCCAAGCUGGGCAGAGGAUAUAACCUUUUGAGCCUCAGUGUCGUCAUCUGGAAAAUGGAAAUGAUAAUAACAACAGUAAUAACGACAGCGCCUCCCUCCUAAGAUGGUGAGGGAAUGCGCCAAAGCAGAGGGACAAAUCAGUUUAGGGCCUGCCUGACCCAAGGUAAGGCCUCAUGUCGCAGCCUCCACCGUUCAACGGUUUUACUGAAGCAUGAGACACAUAAACAUGUUCCCAAACGUUCCCAAAUCACAGUGUCCAGCUCAGCACGACCUUGCAAGGUGAAACCUGCACCGCGCUGAGAAUAUCUCCAGCACCCAGAACCCCCACCCACGUGCCCCACAAGUAUGACCACUAACUGGGUCCCAGCAGCUAGGGGUCGUUUAGCCUGUUUUGAACUUCUUAUGAGUGGACUCCCAGGGUGCACCCUUCUGUGUCCGGCGCCUUCCGCUCAGCAUCGCGCUGUGACAUUCAUCCACGGGACUGUGUAGCUGCAGGUGUUUGUUCUCCCUCCCAGGUAUAGAUCACUCCACAGUCUAUGAAUUCAUUCUACUUUUGAUGGGCAAUUGCAGCUCUUUCCGUGAGUGCAGCUGUGCACAGCCCAGUGGCCGGUGGUGCCUAGCCCAGCAGUGCCCGCGUCACUGGGGCUGGCUGGACACACAGACUGGCCCUCCUGCAGAAUCGGGAAGGGUCCCCAGGCCUGGUCUAAUCCUGUCAGUGUAGGAGCCUUGCAGGAGCCUCCCCUGUAUAGAGGUCAGAGACUCAGCCCCCCAGGUGCCCGGGUCUCACUGGGUCAUAAGACCACUCGGCAGUCCAGUGGCGCCAAGACGCACCAUGUGCUCUUUGAUGGGAUGGCAUGCGUGAAGGCAAGCUCUGCCUAAGCUGGGGUCAGCCGAGCAUUUUUGUAAGGAGGGCCCUUUGCUCGUAUCCAUGGUGGCCUCUGCUGUGCUGAGAGGUGGGCACAAAAGCAAAGUGGGAGGCUGGGAGGCUGAGCAAGCCUAGAGAAGGGAAAGGAGAGGCAGGUGGCUGCAGGCUGUGCUGCAGCGAGGAAGACAAGUGGGAGAAGACAUGGGGUGGGGGCUGCGGGGGGAGCUGCAGAGAGCAUGGCCCAGAUGAUGGCCUCACCGUCACCUUUAAAAGUCAACCUGGGCAGGCAGCACCCCUUCAGAGAGAGAAGAGUUGUUUCACCCCCAACGUUCCCAGAUCCUGUCCCAGUCCGUUCCUUUCACCCCCAGCCCCAGGAAACCACCGAUCUGCCCCUGCCACUGUGGCGAGGUGUGUGUCUUCUAGAACUGCCCAUGAAUGGAACCAGUACUUGUGUGUGGUCCUUUGCAUCUGGUUGCUUUUGUUCAGUGCAAUACCUUUGCGAUUCGCCCAUGUUAGGUGCAUUAAUGGUCGGCCCCUUUUAAUUGCUAAGUAGUGUUCCACUGUAAGGAUAUUCCACAGUCUCUAUCCAUUGACCUGUAGCCUGUUUUCAGUUUUCAGUUAUUACAAAUAAAGCUUCUAGGGAACAAUUUCCUGGAAGCCUUUUUAUGGUGUUAUCUUUUCAUUUCCCUUGAGUAAAUAUCUAGAAGUAGCAUUGCUGUCUUGUGCCUCAGUGUCCAUUUCCCAAAGUGAUUGCACCAUUUUAUAUCCCACCAGCAUGGUGUCAGAGCUCUCAUUCUUCCACAUCCUCACCCGCACUUGGUGAGAACAGUUAAAGCACAAAGGACUUCUAGUUGGCCGAGGUAUAAGCUGCUAAGUUGGCCUCAUGCUGGGACUGUGCUCAACAGAGGGUGGUUGCCGCUGGGGAGUAGCAUGCACGUUGGGAUCACUGGGAAAGUUUUUUAAGAUUGCCCCGUCUGGGCCCCACCCUAGAUCAAUCAAACCAGGGUGGUUCCCAAGCAUAAGCCUUUUUCAAAGCUGCUCAGCAGAGGCUGAGAACCACUGCUGCAGAAAAAGUCGCGUCCAACAGAGAGACAUAUUUUGCAGAGAAGGCUGGGACCUGGUGCCAGUGAAGGA